Long non-coding RNA from Camelus dromedarius (Arabian camel), 2318 nucleotides. RefSeq lists it as uncharacterized. The record is from RefSeq and is a predicted model, not a curated record. NCBI's taxonomy places the organism in Eukaryota, Metazoa, Chordata, Mammalia, Artiodactyla, Camelidae. The transcript is spliced from 3 exons.
AACAAGACAGAAAAGGCAGAGGAUGAUUUCUGUUCUUCCUCUAGGCUUGCAGGUGCCCUCACCUCCAGUGGCAUCCAUCCAGACACCAGCACUGACACUGGCCGUGCUCAGAACUGCCUCAGCCCUGAAGAUACAACUGACAAAUAGAAGGGGGCCAUGCCCUGUUACAGCAGGUGCUCUCACUUUGUGGGUCCUUAUGUAACUGUGCGUUGUUAUUCAGGAUCGCCCAUUCUACAUUGUGUGACGCUGCUGCGGUGUCUCCUAGUUAUUUGUUUCUGAUCUGAGAAGCAGGAGCAAGGAACUCAGGGAGAGAUCCAGGAAGACAUCUGACUCUGUUAAGAGACGACAGUCACAGCGACACGGGGAGCGAAGACACGUGCAGCAAAGCAAAAUGACUUCACAACGAUUGCAUCAGAGCUGCAGGUGUGAGAGAGCCUAAGCCUGUCUCAGAGUGCAGGGGACAAGUGGAAAGGAAUGUGUAAGAAUGCCGGUGACUCAGUUAGAAGCAUGCUUCGAAGCUGUCCGUGUCCUUGCCACCCAGAAGCAGAGCCUGGGGGCUACAGAAUUUCUCCAGAAUGCAGUUUACAUUCACCUUGACAAGUGAGUUAUGUCCUUUUACAAGUGGAGGAAUUGCUGCCGUUUCCCUGGAACUUACUCACCACUAGUGUAUAUGAUUUUCCUUUGCUAGGAUUCAGUAUAGCCUGCUAAAAAUUCUGGAGGCAGAUCUUGAAACCCUGAUGAAGAGGAUUAUUUAUUUUAUUUCUUUAUAUGAUAGUAUUUUACUUUCAAAAUUCAGAGUUUUCAGUUCAUUGAGGAAUUUUUUCGGGGGUUGGAGAAUCAACGUUUCUCUUACCAUCUUUGUGACCUGUUGCUAUAUGCCUCUCACCUGUCUUCUGUCACUUAUGAGGCAGUUCCAUUUGUGACCCUGUGCGGGUUGUUCAUGUUAAAAAAUAUAAAUUCUGUAAAACUACAUUCCCUUUUACUCCGAAGACAUUCCACAAGUACUACUUAAAUCUGGGUGUGGUUUUUAGAAGACAGAAUCAUUAGAACAUGUACUUGCAGGUUGCUAGUGCAAAAUCCCCAAAUCAAUAGUCUAGCUCAACAUCUAAAAUCUUUCUAAUCUACCUUGGAUUUGUAUGGAUAAGUGAAGCAGUUUGCUAAGAAAUCAAGACCAGGUUUAGAAUACAGGCUGGUGUAGCUCAGCAGGUCCUCCCAUGCUGAUGCUCUGCCAGAGGGUGGGGCCAAGGGGAGAGGGCGUGUCCUGCCCUCCCUGAGCUGACAGUUUGAUGGCAAAGACCUUCACCAGGUGAAGAACUGGGAAUUUCUUCUAAGAAAAGUGGGUUUGAAAAGAGUCCUAAAAGCGCGGGAGUGACACAAUCCCAUUUGUCUCAAGUAGGGGAGAGUGGCUGUAGGGCCAAUUGGGAGACUCGUGAGUCCAGGAGUGCAGUGUUGGUGGCUUCCACUUGAGCGGUGGGACGGUCAGUGUGUUAAAGCGAACAGAUUGAAGACAUGUUUCGAUGGUAAAAAGGAAAGGAUGAAUGCUGUCUGUGAAGUUAGAAUGGAGUAAGGCCCAGGUUUCUGGGUGGAUUAAUGAGGUAUAUGAUAGUCCUGCUGUGCUGUGAUGAGGGAAACCUGCAGAGGGAGUUCUGGGGAAAAUCUGAUGAGUUCAGCUGUGGGUAAAUGAAAGGCUGUUAGAUGUGUGGACAUGGAGCUCUGGUGAGAGCCAGUAGUGAGUAGGGGGAGGGGAGAGAGUCUUUCAAAUCAUUUUGUCUUGUGAACAUACAAAUAAGGAUGAGCAAUGACACACUUAACACCUCCAUAUUCUGGAUUUAAAACCCAGUAACAUUUUGCAUUAUUGACUGCAGAGGUUCUUAAUUUUUUUAAGAGAAAUAAAAUAAAUAGAAACAAAAUAGUGGAGUUAAUCAACAUCUUAGAUUUGAUGUGUGUCCUUGUGUAUAUUUUGAUACCUCAUCUGUUUAUAACUAUAAUCUACAAAAAGUUAACUUGCUUAGCAUAAGAGUUAAACAGAGGGACGUGACACACACUGUUAGGGGUGGAAGCUGAUCACCUUGGGCAAAUUAUGUCACCUCUCUGUGCCUUAGUUGCAUCUUCUGUGACUGCCCCUGGGCCCCUUAUCACAGCUGAUUUCCUAGACUUGAUGUUGGGAGGGAGGCUGCUGAAGGGAUUAAGAAGUGGCAACUGCUAGGGAUACUGAAGAGUGAGACAAAAGCAGAUUAAAGCCUAUAAACUUAGUACAAAUACCCUCAAAAGAGAAAGAACCUUGCAGUGUUUUGAGCCACUUAGCGUAAGGAAAACAA